Brassica rapa (field mustard) is the source of this 1227-nucleotide long non-coding RNA. RefSeq lists it as uncharacterized. NCBI's taxonomy places the organism in Eukaryota, Viridiplantae, Streptophyta, Magnoliopsida, Brassicales, Brassicaceae. The record is from RefSeq and is a predicted model, not a curated record.
AAAAAAAACAAAUUUGAAAAAAAAAUUAUAAAAAGUUAGAAUUUGAAAAAGUAUAAUUCGAAAACACCAAAAAAAUUAUUUUUUAUUUAUUUAAAUAAUUAUUUAUUAUAUAUAUAUAGAGAGAACAAAUGUAUAAUAGUCUUUUGCCACUUAAUGAAGAAUAUAUUUUUGAAAAUAUCUCUUUAGUGAUGGUAAAAAUGAAUAAUGGUAUUAUGAAAGUGGUCAACAAGAAAUUCUCUCAUAUAUAUUAGAAAUAUAUUCAUUAGAAAUAAAUAUAUUGUAUACUAAUUUUUAUAAUAAUUUUAAAUAGUAUAUUCAUAUUGCUCUACCAAUCAUUCUAUUAAACAGUUCAACAAAAAUAUACAGUUUCUGCUUUAUCAUCUGCCAAUCAAAACCUUAAAUGACCAAAUAUUUUUGAAGCCCAUAUAAGACUCAUUUAAAUAGAUCCAAGUGGAAGUCCAUAAGUUUGUGUUAUUUCUUUCCAAUACCAUCAUUUUAACACAAAUAAUUAGACAUAACAAAACAAAUAAUGACUUCGUAUUGGCGAAAUAUUAUUAAAAUAUGAUUUUUCUGUCAUAAAUCAAACAGUCAUACAAGCUUUUGAGAGUUUAGAGGCAACUGAUUGGGUUGGUUCAGCGGUUAGUUUCGGCGUCUUGGUGAGUAAUAGCAGCUCUAAUAUUCACUCGAGCUCUUGAAAGCAAUUGGUCUGUUGUUUUUUCCAAUCCAAGUUUAAAAAAAUAAAGAUAUUGAGUUUUCAAAUGUUUUAGGCUUUCCUCAUGAGUUAUGUGUCUCGUAGAUUGGAUGCGUCAGUAAGAUACACCAUCAUAAGUAUAAGCGUUUUCCGAUGAGUUUAAACAGUUUUGAUGCUCGUACGAUUUGUGAGGUACUCAUAUCACUUUCUAUCAGUUAAUUUACCUAUUGUCCUACCUCUAUGUGUGAAACUUUGGCUAAUACUGUACUUGUUGGCUUAUAGGCGUCUUGUAUGAGAUUUUAACGGAAAAGAUCUUAUUAAGGUAUGUACCAAGAGAUAUACUACGGGGUCGACAGCCACGUUAGAGUAUCAGAUUGGUCAAUACCGCAUAAACAUACCGUAUGUUGAUGAUGAUAACACAGAAAUGCAGUGAAGAAAGCUAAUAAUAUCAAAGAGAACAUAAAAGGAAAACCUCUUCCUCAGACAAAAACUUACAUCAAACAAGAGAAAUUACUACAUUGCCACUUGUUACUACA